GUGCUGACUUUAGCAGUAUAUACAGUAAAAUUGGACUGAUACAGAGAAGAUGAGUAUGGCCCCUGCACAAGGAUGAUGUGCAAAUUAAUGAAGCCUUUCAUAUUAAA
Molecule: small nuclear RNA, 107 nt
Organism: Pteronotus mesoamericanus
Lineage: Eukaryota; Metazoa; Chordata; Mammalia; Chiroptera; Mormoopidae
Source: RefSeq, a predicted model, not a curated record